GGUGAACGCUGGCGGCGUGCCUAACACAUGCAAGUCGAGCGAUUUACUUCGGUAAAGAGCGGCGGACGGGUGAGUAACGCGUGGGUAACCUGCCUCAUACACAUGGAUAACAUACCGAAAGGUAUGCUAAUACAAGAUGAUAUAAGAGAUUCGCAUGGAUUUCUUAUCAAAGCUUUUGCGGUAUGAGAUGGACCCGCGUCUGAUUAGCCAGUUGGUAAGGUAACGGCUUACCAAGGCGACGAUCAGUAGCCGACCUGAGAGGGUGAUCGGCCACAUUGGAACUGAGACACGGUCCAA
This 297-nucleotide ribosomal RNA is filed under the name uncultured bacterium. Its description in RNAcentral is "partial 16S ribosomal RNA". It matches the Rfam family "Bacterial small subunit ribosomal RNA", at positions 28 to 334 of the family's 1533-position model. The record is from RNAcentral.